CACCCGCUCAGCAUCAGAAGAACACACGUUCUUCUCAAGAGCACCUGGAACAUUCGGCCACAAAACAAAUCUGAAUAAAUUUAAAGUGAUUUGAGUCAUACAAAUCACGUUCUCUUGCCCUAGUGGAAUUAAACUAAAAAUCAAUUAACAGAAAGAUCUCUGGGAAAAUCUCCAAAUAUUUGGAAAUUACACAUCACAUUUUGAAAUAACCCAUGGAUCAAAGAAGAAAUCAAAAGAGAAAUUACAAAGCACUUUGAACUGAAUGAGAAUGAAAACAAAAAUAUCCAAAUUUGUGACAUCUUGAUAGUAAAAUGAAAGGAGAGCUGAAGCAGUCUGUAAAGGGAAAUUGAUGACACUAAAAACCUGGAGUAGAAGAAAAGGCUUCAAUGUCCUCAACUUCCACCCUAAGAAACUAAAAAGCAAAUUAAACCCAAAGAAAUUAGAAGAAUGUAGUAAAUAUCCGAGCCAAAAUCAAUAUAACAGGAAAAAAUACAGAAAAUUGACGAACUCAAAAGGUUGUUCUUUGAGAAGAUCAAUAAAACCGACAAACCUCUGGCCAGACCAAUUAGGAGAAAAGGAAAACUUGAAUUACAAUAUCAGUUAUGAGGGAGGUGACCUGACUACAGAUUCUACACAUGUUUAAAGAAUAAAAAGAUGAUUUAUGCCAACAUAGUCAACAUUUAAGACAAAAUAGACAAAUUCCUUGAGAGACACAAACUACCAAAGCUCAUGUGAGAAGAACAGGUCACCUGAAUAGCCCUCUUUCUAUGGAAAAACUCGAAUUUGUAGUUAAACUUUCCCGCAAAAGAAACCCCAGGACCAGAGGGCUCCACGGUGGAUCCCGCCCAAUGUCUAGGGAAGAAAUGACACCCAUGCUGCACAGACUCUUCCGGAAAACUGAAGAGGAUGGAGAGUUCCCGACAGGUCCCAGGAGGCCAGCACCACCCCACAGCAAGAGCACAGGAAGCGGCCACCAGGACAGAACAGGCAGACGGCACUUUAGGACGCUGUCACUCGGAGCCACGCUCAAGCUUCACUGCCAUUGUUGUCAGUAUUGUGGCCUCGUUCUUCUUCGAACCUCAUGUGAAAUCGUCCUUUGACUUUACACAUGAGCGUCCGUUUCCUCGCUUGGGUUUCUUUCUCACGUCACAGACCUUCCUUUAUGGAGUACACCCUUCAGAUCGUGCUGCCGCUAAGAUCCCUCCAGGUCAUUCCAGAUGCUCCCUGCAGACUGUGGCUGGCAAGAAUGAAGGAGCUAGAAGCCUGUUGCAAUAACGCCAGAGAUGACAACGGCUACAUAUGGCAGGAACCCCUUCAGGAAUGACAAAACAGAGGCAUAAACAACCACUGCUUCAUUGUGCUCAGCGAGACCCACAGAACCAGGAGAGGAAAGAAAACGGGGGUUGACUUGAGACCCCAGGUUGGGGUGACGAAUGCAGCUGGAGCCACAGGUCCCUUAGAUUCAG
Molecule: long non-coding RNA, 1466 nt
Filed under: Equus caballus (horse)
Lineage: Eukaryota; Metazoa; Chordata; Mammalia; Perissodactyla; Equidae
Description: lncRNA (ENSECAG00000049447.1)
Source: RNAcentral